This 459-nucleotide ribosomal RNA is filed under the name uncultured bacterium. RNAcentral's name for it is "partial 16S ribosomal RNA". It matches the Rfam family "Bacterial small subunit ribosomal RNA", at positions 338 to 795 of the family's 1533-position model. The record is from RNAcentral.
CCUACGUGUGGCAGCAGUGAGGAAUAUUGGUCAAUGGGAGGAAUCCUGAACCAGCCAUGCCGCGUGCAGGACGACGGCUCUACGAGUUGUAAACUGCUUUUGUACCGGGGUAAAAUGCUCUACGCGUAGGGUUUUGAAAGUACGGUACGAAUAAGGCUCGGCUAACUCCGUUCCAGCAGCCGCGGUAAUACGGAGGAUCCGAGCGUUAUCCGGAUUCAUUGGGCGUAAAGGGUGGGUAGGCGGCCUGCUAAGUCUGGAGUGAAAGGUACGGGCUCAACCGGUAAAGGCUCUGGAAAUUGGCGGGAUAGAGAGCAGGAGAGGGCGGUGGAACUCCAUGUGUAGCGGUAAAAGGCGUAGAUAUAUGGAAGAACACCAGUGGCGAAGGCGGCCGCCUGGCCUGUUACUGACGCUGAGGCACGAAAGCGUGGGGAGCAAAUAGGAUUAGAUACCCCAGUAGUC